Molecule: ribosomal RNA, 793 nt
Filed under: uncultured bacterium
Lineage: Bacteria
Description: bacterial SSU rRNA
Rfam family: Bacterial small subunit ribosomal RNA
Source: RNAcentral
AGAGUUUGAUCAUGGCUCAGAUUGAACGCUGGCGGAAUGCUUUACACAUGCAAGUCGAACGGCAGCACGGACUUCGGUCUGGUGGCGAGUGGCGAACGGGUGAGUAAUAUAUCGGAACGUGCCCAGUCGUGGGGGAUAACGUAGUGAAAAUUACGCUAAUACCGCAUACGAUCUAAGGAUGAAAGCGGGGGAUCGCAAGACCUCGCGCGAUUGGAGCGGCCGAUAUCAGAUUAGGUAGUUGGUGAGGUAAAGGCUCACCAAGCCAACGAUCUGUAGCUGGUCUGAGAGGACGACCAGCCACACUGGAACUGAGACACGGUCCAGACUCCUACGGGAGGCAGCAGUGGGGAAUUUUGGACAAUGGACGCAAGUCUGAUCCAGCCAUUCCGCGUGCAGGACGAAGGCCUUCGGGUUGUAAACUGCUUUUGUACAGAACGAAAAGGUCUCUAUUAAUACUGGGGGCUCAUGACGGUACUGUAAGAAUAAGCACCGGCUAACUACGUGCCAGCAGCCGCGGUAAUACGUAGGGUGCAAGCGUUAAUCGGAAUUACUGGGCGUAAAGCGUGCGCAGGCGGUUAUAUAAGACAGAUGUGAAAUCCCCGGGCUCAACCUGGGAACUGCAUUUGUGACUGUAUGGCUGGAGUGCGGCAGAGGGGGAUGGAAUUCCGCGUGUAGCAGUGAAAUGCGUAGAUAUGCGGAGGAACACCGAUGGCGAAGGCAAUCCCCUGGGCCUGCACUGACGCUCAUGCACGAAAGCGUGGGGAGCAAACAGGAUUAGAUACCCUGGUAGUCC